CCUGCACUACAAAGUGUGCACCGGCAAGGUGAAGAAGCACCUCGCCAAGAUGGAAGGUGAGCACCAACAUCUCUGAAAGUUUGGUGACAAAAUAAUGCAUCUUGAAUCCUGGGAAGACCAGUUACUUACUAAUAAUCUGUCAUUGAAGGAUAUGCUACAGCAAUGCAGCAAUUUGAAUUGAUAUUCACAUUGAAUUAAUGACUUGUCUUGUUGUAUGCAAUUGAAACAUACCCAUAUAAAAGAAGUCUAUUCCAUGCAGCAUUUUUACUGUUUUACUCAACUUGUUUUUGUUGUUACUUGAUACAUACUACCUCCGUCCCAUAAUAAACCAUCAAAUGUACUCCUGGGAGGGAUAAACAUCUGUUUUAGAACAUGGGUUGAAGCUGACUGUACUUGCUUACUGAGAAUAUGAAAAUGAGAUAUUCUGUUUGCUAAUAUGAAGAUAGCAUUGUGUUUAAUCCAGUACUGAUGAUUGUUUUUUCAUUCCCAUAAAAACUUGUUAAUGAUGGUGAUUUUGUACAAGCAUAUAAACUUGUUUUUGUUGUCACUUGAUACAUACUUACCUUGUACUUGAAGUUGUGGGUUAAUGCUGGUAAUUUUGUUCUACUUGUAUGCAUUGGUACCCCCAUCAUCGAGCGCACGGAUGCAAUAGUGGCAAGAAGAUCAUGGUCGUGUGCAUCAUCAAGCACACCAUGGCGAGCAUCCACCUCCUCACAGUGGCAAGAAGAGCAGGUGCCUAGUUUGUAAUCACUGUCGAAGGAGCUCCAUGCUGAAGAACAUAACACUUGUAGAGCUUGUAAAGUACCAUGUUAUUGAACUUGUGGAGCAUGUAACUGUGACUGCCAUACUGUUGUUACACUUGUAGAGCUUGCAAAGUGUAUGUUAGAGCUUAUUACGUGUUAUUUGUACAGCAGCAGCUCUGUACUGACUCUGGCAGAUAAUAUUUGAAGUAUUUUGUGUGUUUUCUGUGUGCCAAUUUAAAUAUUAUGUAUUUA
This 995-nucleotide long non-coding RNA is filed under the name Triticum aestivum (bread wheat). RNAcentral's name for it is "long non-coding RNA (TAES_LNC017744)". The record is from RNAcentral. Lineage: Eukaryota; Viridiplantae; Streptophyta; Magnoliopsida; Poales; Poaceae.